Nerophis ophidion (straightnose pipefish) is the source of this 477-nucleotide long non-coding RNA. RefSeq lists it as uncharacterized. NCBI's taxonomy places the organism in Eukaryota, Metazoa, Chordata, Actinopteri, Syngnathiformes, Syngnathidae. The record is from RefSeq and is a predicted model, not a curated record. The transcript has 2 exons.
CGCUGCAGAAGACAACAUGAUAACGCCGGGGAGGAAGAGGAGAGAGGACAUAUGGGGAAAUUUUAUAUUUGACGUCAAAGAUAACAAGACGCAGUGUAAGAAAUGCAGCACGAGGAUUACGGGGAAAAAAAACAACCUUGAAGCGACAUUUACAGUCGAAUCACCCCGAAAUCCACACACAGGUUUGCACACACAGUAGCUGGUAUUUUGCCCCAUUCCUCUAUGCAGAUCUUCUCGAGAGCAGUGAUGUUAUGGGGCUGUCGCCGAGCAACACGGACUUUCAACUCCCUCCACAGAUUUUCUAUGAUGUUAUAUUUUGGUUUCAUCUGACCACAUGACAUUCUCCCAAUCCUCUGCUGUAUCAUCCAUGUAUCCAUUUUGGUAUAAACUCAACUCGUCAUGUUUGGAGGAAGAAGAAUACUGAGUUGCAUCCCAAGAACACCAUACCUACUGUGAAGCAUGGGGGUGGAAACAUCA